Molecule: ribosomal RNA, 480 nt
Filed under: uncultured Archaeospora
Lineage: Eukaryota; Fungi; Glomeromycota; Glomeromycetes; Archaeosporales; Archaeosporaceae
Description: SSU rRNA
Rfam family: Eukaryotic small subunit ribosomal RNA
Source: RNAcentral
AGCAGCCGCGGUAAUUCCAGCUCCAAUAGCGUAUAUUAAAGUUGUUGCAGUUAAAAAGCUCGUAGUUGAAUUUUGGGUUUGGCCAAUUGGUCCGUUCUUGUAACGAGUACUGGUUGGUUGGGCCUCACCGCCUGGUGAUACGUAAUGUCCUUUAUUGGGUGUUGCGAGUAGCCAGGACCUUUACCUUGAAAAAUUAGAGUGUUUAAAGCAGGCUUAUGCCGGAAUACAUUAGCAUGGAAUAAUAGAAUAGGACGAUGAUUCUAUUUUGUUGGUUUCUAGGAGCAUCGUAAUAAUUAAUAGGGAUAGUUGGGGGCAUUAGUAUUCAAUUGUCAGAGGUGAAAUUCUUGGAUUUAUUGAAGACUAACUACUGCGAAAGCAUUUGCCAAGGAUGUUUUCAUUAAUCAAGAACGAAAGUUAGGGGAUCGAAGACGAUCAGAUACCGUCGUAGUCUUAACCAUAAACUAUGCCGACUAGGGAUCG